This 1001-nucleotide ribosomal RNA is filed under the name Hypocreales sp. LM4. RNAcentral describes it as "bacterial SSU rRNA". The stretch from base 1 to 322 matches the Rfam family "Eukaryotic small subunit ribosomal RNA", at positions 1510 to 1831 of the family's 1831-position model. The record is from RNAcentral. Lineage: Eukaryota; Fungi; Ascomycota; Sordariomycetes; Hypocreales.
AGCCAGCGAGUACUUCCUUGUCCGAAAGGUCCGGGUAAUCUUGUUAAACUCCGUCGUGCUGGGGAUAGAGCAUUGCAAUUAUUGCUCUUCAACGAGGAAUCCCUAGUAAGCGCAAGUCAUCAGCUUGCGUUGAUUACGUCCCUGCCCUUUGUACACACCGCCCGUCGCUACUACCGAUUGAAUGGCUCAGUGAGGCGUCCGGACUGGCCCAGAGAGGUGGGCAACUACCACUCAGGGCCGGAAAGCUCUCCAAACUCGGUCAUUUAGAGGAAGUAAAAGUCGUAACAAGGUCUCCGUUGGUGAACCAGCGGAGGGAUCAUUACCGAGUUUACAACUCCCAAACCCCUGUGAACAUACCUAUACGUUGCCUCGGCGGAUCACCCCGCGCCCUGUAAAACGGGACGGCCCGCCCGAGGACCCUAAACUCUGUUUUUAGUGGAACUUCUGAGUAAAACAAACAAAUAAAUCAAAACUUUCAACAACGGAUCUCUUGGUUCUGGCAUCGAUGAAGAACGCAGCAAAAUGCGAUAAGUAAUGUGAAUUGCAGAAUUCAGUGAAUCAUCGAAUCUUUGAACGCACAUUGCGCCCGCCAGUUUUCUGGCGGGCAUGCCUGUUCCGAGCGUCAUUUCAACCCUCAGCUCAGCUUGGGUGUUGGGACUCGCGGUAACCCCCGCGUUUCCCCAAAUCGAUUGGGCGGGUCACGUCCGAGCUUUCCAUAGCCGUAGUAAUCAUUACACCUCCGUUUACUGGGUAAUCCGUCGCGGCCCCCGCCCGUAAAACCCCCACCUUCUGAAUGUUGGACCUCCGAAUCAGGUAGGGAAUACCCCGCUUGAACUUUUAGCCAUAUCCAAUUACCGGAAGGAAAAAAAAAACCAACCGGGGAAUGGCCCUUAAUAACCGGCCGAAGGGGAGGCGGGCCAACCGCCUCCAAAAUUUUGAAAAUCUGGGCUCUCGGGGGCCCGAAAUUUGUUAAAUUUUUUAAAAAGGAAGCCUUUUUUAAA